This 358-nucleotide ribosomal RNA is filed under the name uncultured bacterium. RNAcentral's name for it is "bacterial SSU rRNA". It matches the Rfam family "Bacterial small subunit ribosomal RNA", at positions 1 to 334 of the family's 1533-position model. The record is from RNAcentral.
CUAGCGACUUCAGAGUUUGAUCCUGGCUCAGGACGAACGCUGGCGGCGUGCUUAACACAUGCAAGUCGAACGGGGAUCAUAUGGAUGAGCGCUUCGGCAGGAAUCCGGAUGAUUCGAGUGGCGGACGGGUGAGUAACGCGUGAGCAACCUGUCCCAGACAGGGGGAUAACACUUGGAAACAGGUGCUAAUACCGCAUGAGACCACGGUAUCGCAUGGUACUGAGGUAAAAGGUGCAAACCGGUUUGGGGUGGGCUCGCGUCCGAUUAGAUAGUUGGUGAGGUAACGGCCCACCAAGUCGACGAUCGGUAGCCGACCUGAGAGGGUGAUCGGCCACAUUGGAACUGAGAGACGGUCCAA